RNAcentral lists this ribosomal RNA (253 nucleotides) under uncultured bacterium. Its description in RNAcentral is "partial 16S ribosomal RNA". It matches the Rfam family "Bacterial small subunit ribosomal RNA", at positions 524 to 776 of the family's 1533-position model. The record is from RNAcentral.
CACGGGGGGAGCAAGCGUUGUUCGGAAUCACUGGGCGUAAAGGGCGUGUAGGCGGUUUGGUAAGUGGAAUGUGAAAUCCCCCGGCUUACCCGGGGACCUGCAUCCCAUACUGCCAAGCUUGAGUACGGGAGAGGAUGAGGGAAUUCCUGGUGUAGCGGUGAAAUGCGUAGAUAUCAGGAGGAAUACCGGUGGCGAAGGCGGCAUCCUGGACCGACAUUGACGCUGAGGAGCGAAAGCUAGGGGAGCAAACGGG